Ochromonadaceae sp. CCMP2298 is the source of this 73-nucleotide non-coding RNA. Lineage: Eukaryota; Synurophyceae; Ochromonadales; Ochromonadaceae. The record is from the annotation of a GenBank genome assembly.
GCGGGUGUGGCGCAAUGGAUAGCGCGUCAGCCUUCGGAGCUGAAGGUUGUGGGUUCGAGUCCCAUCAUUCGUA